GACGAACGCUGGCGGCGUGCUUAACACAUGCAAGUCGAACGGAAAGGCCCUGCUUUUGUGGGGUGCUCGAGUGGCGAACGGGUGAGUAACACGUGAGUAACCUGCCCUUGACUUUGGGAUAACUUCAGGAAACUGGGGCUAAUACCGGAUAGGAGCUCCUGCUGCAUGGUGGGGGUUGGAAAGUUUCGGCGGUUGGGGAUGGACUCGCGGCUUAUCAGCUUGUUGGUGGGGUAGUGGCUUACCAAGGCUUUGACGGGUAGCCGGCCUGAGAGGGUGACCGGCCAAAUGGGGAUGGAGAUACGGCCCAGACUCUUACGGGAGGCAGCAGUGGGGAAUAUGGAAAAAGGGGCGGAAGCCGGAGGAAGCAACGCGGGGGGCGGGAGGACGGCCUUCGGGUUGAAAACCGCUUUCGCCGGUGACGAGGCGUGAGGGACGGUAAGGGGAAAAGAAGCACCGGCAAAUUACGU
Molecule: ribosomal RNA, 467 nt
Filed under: uncultured bacterium
Lineage: Bacteria
Description: partial 16S ribosomal RNA
Rfam family: Bacterial small subunit ribosomal RNA
Source: RNAcentral